GACUGUGGCUUCAUUCACGUGUACCUGGGUCAUUCCCAGCCCUAGGGUCACCUCCUUAGAGGGACCCCUGAACUUGAACUUGGGGGCUUGCGUAGGAUGGUCAUUGAGCCUCGAGGUGGGGAGAUAGGGAUGACAAUUGUUGGUGUCGCAGCUAGUGCCCCUCGGGGUGCCUGCUGUCCGCAGGGCACUGUGCCGGGUACUUUCUUCAGCUCCUUCAGAGCCCGUACAGCAAAUCGAGUUCAUUGGAAAGGCUAUUCCUGUUCCGCAGGUGGAGAAGCCGAGGUCAGGGCAGAGUAGUGCCAGGUGCAUCCACAGCUCUGAAUGGAGACUCCAGAGCCCUGAGUGGGCACCACCAUGCUUCUCAAAGCUGGAGGGUUUUUUACCCUGAGUUCAUGGCCCCAUUCAGUCUGGAUUCUGCACGUUCCCUCGCACGUCGUGGCAGACAGUCCAGUGGCUGGAGGUCAGGGUGGUGUACAGGGCAGCCCUGAAAAAACUGGUGGUGUUCCAGUCCAAAAACUUCUCUUGAGCCAAAGCUGGAGACAGGCUUCCUUGAAGGCACGGGCCAGAUUUGGCCUGGCACCUGUUUUUGUUCAGCCUGUGAGCUAAGAGUGGUUUUAUAUUUGUAAAUGGCCCCCAAAAGAAUGACAUGCCGUGACACAUGAAAUGAUAUGAAAUUCACAUGUUGGAGGCCACGGGGCUGUGUGGGAGCCCAGCCCCACACCCUCAUUUAGGUGCUCUCUGGGGUGGCUUUCUCUCCGCAAAGUGUUGCACCAGAGACCCUCUGGCCCCUGGAGGCCUGAAGUCUGGACUCCCUGGCCGUUUCCAGAACCAGCCUGCUUUGAGGCCUGCCCCACCUCCUACUGUGGCCUGCCAUCCUCCUCUCUCCGGACCUCAUCUUCAUUUGCACCCUAUUCCCACCUCACCUUGCUUGCUGAAACUGGUAGUCCACACUUAGAGAGUCGUUUGUUUGACGUGAAUCUUUUCUCCCAGUUACAAUGCCGAAAGUAAGAGGUGUCAUCUUAAACUGGAUCAGUCAUGUAUACUGCAGGAUGGGAAGGGACUGGUGCUGGCCUUGUCAGAGCAGAGCAGGGCUGCUGCAUGCAACGAGUGGGUCCCGGUGCUCCUGUGCGUGCUGGGAGAGGAGGGAAGCGGGUCGUCCAGAAGAGGCCUUUGUUCGUGGCCUGCCUUUCCUUCAUCCCUGCCUUUGUCCACCAGAGGCUGGGAGUGUUGGUGGACAAAGGCCACAGCUGCGGUCCUCUCCUCCCCGGAAGAUGCCCCAUCAUAGAGCCGGGUGACACCCAGAUGCCAUGGCAGCUACUUGGUGGCAUCGUGAGGCCGGCCCACAGCUCAGAAAGCGGUGCAGCUGGGUUGACCUGCACCCUGGUGCUCACUGCGACCGGGCGCCUUCUCGAAGUGCAGGGCUUGGCCUCAGUGCUAAGGGGAGUGACCCGUUUUUGCCUUUUGACCCACGGCAGGGAGAGGCGACAGCUCUAAUUUCUCUCUUGCCCUCAGUCCCUGAUACCCCCACAUGUGGGAACCCUUGUUUCCACCAGAAACAGCAGGUGAUCGUCGCGGUCUGGGGUCCUCCUUGGAUAUUUUUCACGGUCACUUUACAUUUCAGUUGGAUUUGUGGGCUUUACAAGGCCAUUCGAGACGAGCUGGGAACUUGACUGUUGUCCUUGUUUCUAAAAGAAUGACGUUUCUGAGUGAGAAAACCAGUGAAGCCGAGACCCGCGUCCCGUCUGUGAUGUGGAGCCCCCUUUAUGCCCAUGGGUUCUUCCUUAGACGUGUCUCGGUUUGACGUGUGUGGGACGAGGCACUGGCUGUGCUGUCCGGGGCAGGUGGCUUCUUUCCUUCGUGUUUCUUCUCUCUUCUUUCUAGAUUUCUUUCUAGGUGACUGCAGUGUGCCAGAGGCACCUACCUCUUCUGGUUGAGAGGGGCGUGGAGCGGGGGUGGGAGAAGGGGUAAAAAUGAGCCAGAAUUGAAGAGAAACAGUGACAGCUCAGAUAAUUUUCCCCAGGCACCUCCCUUGGAAGCCACCAGGACAAUUGUGGAGUGGAAAUUCUCUGGUUCCUCCUGUCCUCUGACGGGAUCUAAAAAUAGCUUGAGGAGGAGCCGGCUGCAGGGCCCUUUGAUCUCCUUGGCCUGACGUUCCUGGCGGGGGAGCAGAGGCUCCAGGGACUCCGUGUUCUUUGGGCCUCGAGGCUGUGGGUGGGGCCGAGGGCUGGAAUCGUCCUGGGUCUCUCCCUCGCCCUUGCCCUGUCUCCCCUCUCUAAGUCUCUUCUGUCCACACCCGGCCUGUGCGUCCCAGGAGCGGGCAUGUGUGUGCGGAAGGCCGGCACAGGGCCGCUCACGGCUUUCCAAAGCACGGCUGGGCUGGAUUUGUCGUGGAGGCUCCUGUUCCCGAAGAGCACACCCUGACUCCCGGGGGCCCGGGGCUGGGUUGGGUUUCCUGUAGAGCAGAGGUGUCUGGACGGCCCUGGAGCUUGGAGGCGGGGUUGCGUCAGCUGCGGCUGAUGAAAUGGGGCCCUGGGGCCCUGGGGCCCUGGAGCCGGGGGCGCAGAUGAGGGGGAGGGGAGCAGGUCGGGGAGGGGGUUACCCGUGUCCCCUGCAAGCGUCCGGGGAGGCAGUCGAGGUGGGAGGAGGGUGUCGGCUCUGCGGAGGUGGCCCUGGGCGCAGAGAGGCUGCGGGGGACGCUCAGAAUCCCUGAGUCUUUCCGGGGUGGGAGCAGGGCCUCUGCCAGGGCUGCAGGUGGAAGGCAUGGGCCGUGGGGGAGGGUGGCGGCCGAGCUCGCACGCGUCUCCUUGGAGAGGCCCGGCCUCGGAGAGGCCCAGCCUGGAAGGUUGAAGGUUGGGGAGGAUAUGGAGCAGGCUUUUCGGGAGGGCAGCUGGUGUGGGUGAAGACGUUUUUUUUGGGGGGGGGGCAACAGAGCUGCUGGGUGAAAACUGACCGGAAGCGAGAGGGCCAGAGUGGGAUGAGGGAUGGGGGCUGGAAAAGGAGUACCAGGGGCAUUUCUUUUGGGGCAGAUGAGAAAGGGAUAAUGUGUAGACUCUGGGACAGCCCAAAGGAAGAGGGUUCCUUUGAGUUUUACCAAGAGAUGAGCAGCUAUGAGUGUCUUGCUGUUAUAAGAGAGCGGGGUUCUGACUCCAGGGAAGCCAGACACCCAGGACCAGCUGCAGGAGGCCGGCCGGCUUUCAGACGGUCGGCCUUGGGAACCAAGGCUGUGCGCUGGGCACGGGGGGCUUGGCAGCUUCUCUUCCUCCUGCCUCGCCCCCUCUGCCGUCGGCACCGUCCCUUGGAAUCAGAAGAGCCCUGUUCCUCCAGCCCAGUUAAGGCUUAUCUGUUAAAGAGGUUAUUUGCACGCAUUGGUUUGGUUUUUACAAACCUGUAGGUUGAGGCAUAAACCAGGGCAGACUGAAUAGGAUGGCACAAGGGUCUGAUGUAGCAGUCGCCGGUAGGGCUUUCUGCCCGGGUGAGGGGUUCUGUGCCUCACUGCCUGGGGUGGGAGCCACCGGCCGGGUGUGGCUGUGCACUGGCCCGGCUUCUGUUGAGAGGGCAAGACGGGGGCCUCCGUCGUGUCCGAGGAGGAGGAUGGUCUGUUGGCAGAGCCUCCAGGGGCCAUGGCCUGGGUAAGGCCGAAAGGGGCUGGCGGGGAAAGGCCGAGGCCCCGUGAGGGCAGAGGACUGGUGUGUGUGUGUGGGGGAGUCUGGGUGCUCACAGCCCCGAGAGCCAAAGCUGGGCUGUGUUUUACCGGCUUCUGGUUCUUCUUACUUAUUAAUUAGGCUGUAAACUACAGGAGGUUUGGGACUGAGCGGUUCCACCAAGCGUGGGGACGAGGCCAGCGCCUGCAGCACUUCGCCGGGUCUUCGUCAGUGGGUCAGGGAGGCCUCCCCAGGGAGAAGCGUGGGGGGACGAAGUCCAUCUCCCUGGGUCGGGGGAGGGCAGAGGCCGCCUCCGUGUGAGAAACGCCUUCCCCGGCCACUUCCCGGGUUCGGCUCCCCUCUUUAAAUAUCAGCUCUUGUCAAGCUCUGCAUCUUCUCUGUUGACAUUUUGCCUCGAGAAAGGAAAAUACCAUCUCAGAAUUUCCAUCUGGGAGUGAGGGUUUCUGAACGCGUCGCAAACAUGGGCUUAAUUUGGGGAGCUCAGCAAGAACGCGUGUGGUUUGGGAUUUAUUAAAAACGGUAGGUUUUGUAAGGAAAGAAAAUCCCUCACACGUCUGUCUCCUGCAGCUGCUGUAAGGCCUCUCGUCUCCUGCAGCUGCUGUAAGGCCUCUCGUCUAGCACUGAAAACAAGGCCAACGCAUUAGGAAAAAACCAGCAAAACCCUUUGCUUGAUCCCAAAGCUUCGUGCUCCGUUCCUCGUCUUCCCCCCCUCGUCACCCUUCUCGAGGGAACGGGUGUGACCCCUGCCUUCCCCGCCGCCCCACGAGCUGCGCCGCCGCGUCUCGUCGGGUGUCCGCCCCCGCUUGGAAGGAGUCCGGUCCCCGUGAACGUGGGCUUGUGGGGGCCCCGGGCUCCUCCUGCCGGUCCUCUCCCUGUACACUUGCUGAAGGGGCUCCCCAGAGCACCCGUGUCUGAGCCGCGGUGUCGGGGAGGGGAUCCUACCUUCAGAGUCCGGUGCCCAAGGCUGUGAACAGCCUGGCUUUCUUGCCCUCUGGUCAUAGGCCAGGGUCCUAAACUUUCUUUUUUUUUUUUUAUGUGGACCCCCUUCAGCCCACCAUGGAGGCCGCCGAGGCUUCCUAGAAUAGGAUUUUUAAAUGCGUUGACAAAAUAAGAUUAGGGGAGUUCCCGUCGUGGCGCAGUGGUUAACGAAUCCAACUAGGAACCAUGAGGUUGCGGGUUCGGUCCCUGCCCUUGCUCAGUGGGUUAACGAUCUGGCGUUGCCGUGAGCUGUGGUGUAGGUUGCAGACGCGGCUCAGAUCCUGCAUUGCUGUGGCUCUGGCGUAGGCUGGUGGCUACAGCUCCGAUUUGACCCCUAGCCUGGGAACCUCCAUGUGCCGCAGGAGCGGCCCAAGAAAUG
This 5019-nucleotide long non-coding RNA is filed under the name Sus scrofa (pig). Its description in RNAcentral is "lncRNA (ENSSSCG00000053401.1)". Lineage: Eukaryota; Metazoa; Chordata; Mammalia; Artiodactyla; Suidae. The record is from RNAcentral.